CCUACGGGGGGCAGCAGUGGGGAAUAUUGCGCAAUGGGGGAAACCCUGACGCAGCAACGCCGCGUGAAUGAAGAAGGCCUUAGGGUUGUAAAGUUCUGUUUACGGGGACGAUAAUGACGGUACCCGUGGAGGAAGCCACGGCUAACUACGUGCCAGCAGCCGCGGUAAUACGUAGGUGGCAAGCGUUGUCCGGAUUUACUGGGCGUAAAGGAUGCGUAGGCGGAUGUUUAAGUGAGAUGUGAAAUACCCGGGCUCAACUUGGGUGCUGCAUUUCAAACUGGACAUCUAGAGUGCGGGAGAGGAAAGCGGAAUUCCUAGUGUAGCGGUGAAAUGCGUAGAGAUUAGGAAGAACACCAGUGGCGAAGGCGGCUUUCUGGACCGUAACUGACGCUGAGGCAUGAAAGCGUGGGGAGCAAACAGGAUU
Molecule: ribosomal RNA, 424 nt
Filed under: uncultured Bacteroides sp.
Lineage: Bacteria; Pseudomonadati; Bacteroidota; Bacteroidia; Bacteroidales; Bacteroidaceae
Description: bacterial SSU rRNA
Rfam family: Bacterial small subunit ribosomal RNA
Source: RNAcentral